CGAACGAGCGAGAGAGAGCUUGCUUUCUCAAGCGAGUGGCGAACGGGUGAGUAACGCGUGAGGAACCUGCCUCAAAGAGGGGGACAACAGUUGGAAACGACUGCUAAUACCGCAUAAGCCCACAGGUCGGCAUCGACCAGAGGGAAAAGGAGCAAUCCGCUUUGAGAUGGCCUCGCGUCCGAUUAGCUAGUUGGUGAGGUAACGGCCCACCAAGGCAACGAUCGGUAGCCGGACUGAGAGGUUGAACGGCCACAUUGGGACUGAGACACGGCCCAGACUCCUACGGGAGGCAGCAGUGGGGAAUAUUGCACAAUGGGGGAAACCCUGAUGCAGCGACGCCGCGUGGAGGAAGAAGGUCUUCGGAUUGUAAACUCCUGUUGUUGAGGAAGAUAAUGACGGUACUCAACAAGGAAGUGACGGCUAACUACGUGCCAGCAGCCGCGGUAAAACGUAGGUCGCAAGCGUUGUCCGGAAUUACUGGGUGUAAAGGGAGCGCAGGCGGGAAGACAAGUUGGAAGUGAAAUCUAUGGGCUCAACCUAUAAACUGCUUUCAAAACUGUUUUUCUUGAGUAGUGCAGAGGUAGGCGGAAUUCCCGGUGUAGCGGUGGAAUGCGUAGAUAUCGGGAGGAACACCAGUGGCGAAGGCGGCCUACUGGGCACCAACUGACGCUGAGGCUCGAAAGUGUGGGUAGCAAACAGGAUUAGAUACCCUGGUAGUCCACACCGUAAACGAUGAUUACUAGGUGUUGGAGGAUUGACCCCUUCAGUGCCGCAGUUAACACAAUAAGUAAUCCACCUGGGGAGUACGACCGCAAGGUUGAAACUCAAAGGAAUUGACGGGGG
This 843-nucleotide ribosomal RNA is filed under the name uncultured bacterium. Its description in RNAcentral is "bacterial SSU rRNA". It matches the Rfam family "Bacterial small subunit ribosomal RNA", at positions 63 to 919 of the family's 1533-position model. The record is from RNAcentral.